UCAAUCGGGGGUUAGCAAAAAUGUUCCUCACUUUUUCUUGUUUGCUUUCUUCACUCGUUUCUUUUGCAGACUCUUUUUCUUUCUCACUCGAUUUUUUUUCAAACUCUCUUUCUUUUUCUUUUUCUUUUUCUUUUUCUUUUUCCACUCUUUCUUUUUCACUCUAAAUUUUUUUAAUUUUCUUUUCUUUUUCACAUUCAUUUUUUUUCUCAAUCUCUGUUUCUGUUUUGAUUUAUUGUUCUUUUUCUUUCAUUUUUCUUCUCGAUUUUUCUUUACAAGAUGAAGAAAAAAUAAAAGAAUCGGAAUGAACUAUUUUUCGUCGAGUAUGAAUGGAAUGAUUUACAUAUGAUUCACAUUCACUCCUUCGUAAAUAAUCCUCCGUGGAUGAACGCCUUGAUGCUUUUGAAGAGAGAUAUCUUCUUUCUCG
RNAcentral lists this long non-coding RNA (424 nucleotides) under Gossypium raimondii (Peruvian cotton). RNAcentral describes it as "long non-coding RNA (GRAI_LNC006438)". The record is from RNAcentral. Lineage: Eukaryota; Viridiplantae; Streptophyta; Magnoliopsida; Malvales; Malvaceae.